Molecule: ribosomal RNA, 470 nt
Filed under: Bacillus sp. (in: firmicutes)
Lineage: Bacteria; Bacillati; Bacillota; Bacilli; Caryophanales; Bacillaceae
Description: bacterial SSU rRNA
Rfam family: Bacterial small subunit ribosomal RNA
Source: RNAcentral
UGCAGUCGAGCGGACCGACGGGAGCUUGCUCCCUUAGGUCAGCGGCGGACGGGUGAGUAACACGUGGGUAACCUGCCUGUAAGACUGGGAUAACUCCGGGAAACCGGGGCUAAUACCGGAUGCUUGAUUGAACCGCAUGGUUCAAUUCUAAAAGGGGGCUUUUAACUUCCACUUUCAGAUGGACCCGCGGCGCAUUAACUAGUUGGGGAGGUAACGGCUCACCAAGGGGACAAUGCCUAACCAAACUGAAAGGGUGAUCGGCCACACUGGGACUGAAACACAGGCCAAACUCCUACGGGAGGGUGAACUACGGAAUCUUCCCCAAUGGACGAAAGUCUGACCGAACGACGCCCCGUGUAUGAUGAAUGCUUUCAGAUCCGAAAAUUCUGUUGUUCAGGAACAACAAAUACCGUUCGAAUAUGGCGGCGCCUUGACGGGACCUAACCGAAAAGCCACGGCUAACUACAUGC